This 467-nucleotide ribosomal RNA is filed under the name uncultured Campylobacterota bacterium. RNAcentral's name for it is "bacterial SSU rRNA". It matches the Rfam family "Bacterial small subunit ribosomal RNA", at positions 31 to 506 of the family's 1533-position model. Lineage: Bacteria; Pseudomonadati; Campylobacterota. The record is from RNAcentral.
AGAGAACGCUGGCGGCGUGCUUAACACAUGCAAGUCGAACGAUAAACGGAUUUAGCUUGCUAAAUUGCAGUCUAAGUGGCGCACGGGUGAGUAAUGUAUAGGUAACAUGCCUUCUACUAGGGGAUAACAGUUGGAAACGACUGCUAAUACCCUAUAUUCCUUAUUAGCACAAGUGUGUAAGGGAAAGAUUCAUUGGUAGAAGAUUGGCCUAUAUUGUAUCAGCUAGUUGGUAGUGUAAUGGACUACCAAGGCUAUGACGCAUAACUGGUUUGAGAGGAUGAUCAGUCACACUGGAACUGAGACACGGUCCAGACUCCUUUUGUUUUGCAGCAGUGGGGAAUAUUGCACAAUGGGCGAAAGCCUGAUGCAGCAACGCCGCGUGGAGGAUGACACAUUUCGGUGCGUAAACUCCUUUUAUAUGGGAAGAUAAUGACGGUACCAUAUGAAUAAGCACCGGCUAACUCCGU